GGUUAAGCGACUAAGCGUACACGGUGGAUGCCCUGGCAGUCAGAGGCGAUGAAGGACGUGCUAAUCUGCGAUAAGCGUCGGUAAGGUGAUAUGAACCGUUAUAACCGGCGAUUUCCGAAUGGGGAAACCCAGUGUGAUUCGUCACACUAUCAUUAACUGAAUCCAUAGGUUAAUGAGGCGAACCGGGGGAACUGAAACAUCUAAGUACCCCGAGGAAAAGAAAUCAACCGAGAUUCCCCCAGUAGCGGCGAGCGAACGGGGAGCAGCCCAGAGCCUGAAUCAGUGUGUGUGUUAGUGGAAGCGUCUGGAAAGGCGCGCGAUACAGGGUGACAGCCCCGUACACAAAAAUGCACAUGCUGUGAGCUCGAUGAGUAGGGCGGGACACGUGGUAUCCUGUCUGAAUAUGGGGGGACCAUCCUCCAAGGCUAAAUACUCCUGACUGACCGAUAGUGAACCAGUACCGUGAGGGAAAGGCGAAAAGAACCCCGGCGAGGGGAGUGAAAAAGAACCUGAAACCGUGUACGUACAAGCAGUGGGAGCCUCUUUAUGGGGUGACUGCGUACCUUUUGUAUAAUGGGUCAGCGACUUAUAUUCUGUAGCAAGGUUAACCGAAUAGGGGAGCCGAAGGGAAACCGAGUCUUAACUGGGCGUUAAGUUGCAGGGUAUAGACCCGAAACCCGGUGAUCUAGCCAUGGGCAGGUUGAAGGUUGGGUAACACUAACUGGAGGACCGAACCGACUAAUGUUGAAAAAUUAGCGGAUGACUUGUGGCUGGGGGUGAAAGGCCAAUCAAACCGGGAGAUAGCUGGUUCUCCCCGAAAGCUAUUUAGGUAGCGCCUCGUGAAUUCAUCUCCGGGGGUAGAGCACUGUUUCGGCAAGGGGGUCAUCCCGACUUACCAACCCGAUGCAAACUGCGAAUACCGGAGAAUGUUAUCACGGGAGACACACGGCGGGUGCUAACGUCCGUCGUGAAGAGGGAAACAACCCAGACCGCCAGCUAAGGUCCCAAAGUCAUGGUUAAGUGGGAAACGAUGUGGGAAGGCCCAGACAGCCAGGAUGUUGGCUUAGAAGCAGCCAUCAUUUAAAGAAAGCGUAAUAGCUCACUGGUCGAGUCGGCCUGCGCGGAAGAUGUAACGGGGCUAAACCAUGCACCGAAGCUGCGGCAGCGACGCUUAUGCGUUGUUGGGUAGGGGAGCGUUCUGUAAGCCUGUGAAGGUGUGCUGUGAGGCAUGCUGGAGGUAUCAGAAGUGCGAAUGCUGACAUAAGUAACGAUAAAGCGGGUGAAAAGCCCGCUCGCCGGAAGACCAAGGGUUCCUGUCCAACGUUAAUCGGGGCAGGGUGAGUCGACCCCUAAGGCGAGGCCGAAAGGCGUAGUCGAUGGGAAACAGGUUAAUAUUCCUGUACUUGGUGUUACUGCGAAGGGGGGACGGAGAAGGCUAUGUUGGCCGGGCGACGGUUGUCCCGGUUUAAGCGUGUAGGCUGGUUUUCCAGGCAAAUCCGGAAAAUCAAGGCUGAGGCGUGAUGACGAGGCACUACGGUGCUGAAGCAACAAAUGCCCUGCUUCCAGGAAAAGCCUCUAAGCAUCAGGUAACAUCAAAUCGUACCCCAAACCGACACAGGUGGUCAGGUAGAGAAUACCAAGGCGCUUGAGAGAACUCGGGUGAAGGAACUAGGCAAAAUGGUGCCGUAACUUCGGGAGAAGGCACGCUGAUAUGUAGGUGAGGUCCCUUGCGGAUGGAGCUGAAAUCAGUCGAAGAUACCAGCUGGCUGCAACUGUUUAUUAAAAACACAGCACUGUGCAAACACGAAAGUGGACGUAUACGGUGUGACGCCUGCCCGGUGCCGGAAGGUUAAUUGAUGGGGUCAGCGCAAGCGAAGCUCUUGAUCGAAGCCCCGGUAAACGGCGGCCGUAACUAUAACGGUCCUAAGGUAGCGAAAUUCCUUGUCGGGUAAGUUCCGACCUGCACGAAUGGCGUAAUGAUGGCCAGGCUGUCUCCACCCGAGACUCAGUGAAAUUGAACUCGCUGUGAAGAUGCAGUGUACCCGCGGCAAGACGGAAAGACCCCGUGAACCUUUACUAUAGCUUGACACUGAACAUUGAGCCUUGAUGUGUAGGAUAGGUGGGAGGCUUAGAAGUGUGGACGCCAGUCUGCAUGGAGCCGACCUUGAAAUACCACCCUUUAAUGUUUGAUGUUCUAACGUUGACCCGUAAUCCGGGUUGCGGACAGUGUCUGGUGGGUAGUUUGACUGGGGCGGUCUCCUCCUAAAGAGUAACGGAGGAGCACGAAGGUUGGCUAAUCCUGGUCGGACAUCAGGAGGUUAGUGCAAUGGCAUAAGCCAGCUUGACUGCGAGCGUGACGGCGCGAGCAGGUGCGAAAGCAGGUCAUAGUGAUCCGGUGGUUCUGAAUGGAAGGGCCAUCGCUCAACGGAUAAAAGGUACUCCGGGGAUAACAGGCUGAUACCGCCCAAGAGUUCAUAUCGACGGCGGUGUUUGGCACCUCGAUGUCGGCUCAUCACAUCCUGGGGCUGAAGUAGGUCCCAAGGGUAUGGCUGUUCGCCAUUUAAAGUGGUACGCGAGCUGGGUUUAGAACGUCGUGAGACAGUUCGGUCCCUAUCUGCCGUGGGCGCUGGAGAACUGAGGGGGGCUGCUCCUAGUACGAGAGGACCGGAGUGGACGCAUCACUGGUGUUCGGGUUGUCAUGCCAAUGGCACUGCCCGGUAGCUAAAUGCGGAAGAGAUAAGUGCUGAAAGCAUCUAAGCACGAAACUUGCCCCGAGAUGAGUUCUCCCUGACUCCUUGAGAGUCCUGAAGGAACGUUGAAGACGACGACGUUGAUAGGCCGGGUGUGUAAGCGCAGCGAUGCGUUGAGCUAACCGGUACUAAUGAACCGUGAGGCUUAACCUU
This 2903-nucleotide ribosomal RNA is filed under the name Escherichia coli. Its description in RNAcentral is "23S ribosomal RNA". It matches the Rfam family "Bacterial large subunit ribosomal RNA". Lineage: Bacteria; Pseudomonadati; Pseudomonadota; Gammaproteobacteria; Enterobacterales; Enterobacteriaceae. The record is from RNAcentral.